RNAcentral lists this transfer RNA (87 nucleotides) under Candidatus Nomurabacteria bacterium RIFCSPHIGHO2_01_FULL_42_15. Its description in RNAcentral is "tRNA-Leu". It matches the Rfam family "tRNA". Rfam says of the family: Transfer RNA (tRNA) molecules are approximately 80 nucleotides in length. Their secondary structure includes four short double-helical elements and three loops (D, anti-codon, and T loops). The record is from RNAcentral. RNAcentral also lists the same sequence under 2 other names. Lineage: Bacteria; Candidatus Nomuraibacteriota.
GCCGGGGUGGCGAAAUUGGUAACCGCAAUUGACUCAAAAUCAAUCGGGGGCAACCCCUUGGGAGUUCGAGUCUCCCCCCCGGCACAA